UUUUUUUUUUUUUUUUUUUCCUGAAAGAGGCAUGCAGAACUGAUCCAAAUAUCAAGCACUCUGAAAGCACAACGAAAUUUGAAGAAAUAGACUUAUUUUUUCCUUCCAAAAACUUUCAGGCACUAAGACUUGAGGACAGGUUAGACUUCUGCUAACACAGACAAUGACUGGGAAAAAACAAACAAGCAGUUGCAUUUUGGAAACACAGGAUAAGAAAGGAGUAAAACAAGAAAAAAAAUAGACAGGAAGAGAAAAGAACUGUAGCACACAUAUCGUCUUGACAACUGAGUGAAGCAAACAUACUCCACCUAUGCAAAAGAGAAGCUUUUAUCAAUCAGAAAGGCUAGUGAUAUCAUUUGUUUCGGAGUUACUAAAUGUGGGUUUAUUUGUCUGCUUGCUUAAUAGCUUUGAAUUCUGCAUCCAUUAUUAACUUGUGGUCUCACUCUUGAGCAUUCAGUGAAAAACUGUGUACUCUAUGAGCUCUUUAAGACUGCAGACUAUGGAUAGCAGUACCUGUUGACUGUGUACCAAUCCCAACAUCAGAAAGUUCUUGAGGAUUUUUUCUUUACUAUCAAGUCUCAAAUCUCAUGCUCUAAUCUAAACCUUUCUCAAAGUAACACCUAUCUCACUUUAUCCUAGAGAAAACCUGAUGGAGCCCCUCUUCCACCGUGUAUAAGACAUGACCACUGGUCUGGCACUCAGAAUUAUGUAGAAGUCACAGAUCUGUCUUUUAUUCAAUGGAAUCAUAAUUCCAUACCUUAUUUUUGGGUUUGUUUUUUCUGAUUGAACCAAUAAAAGAUUUAGUGGCUUAAACUGAUGAAGAACCAUUAUAAGUUUAGGACAUAUUAUAUAUGUAUUAGAUUCUGAAUAGCAAAACCUGACAGAUUUAAAUAUUUGAACAAGAAUUUCUAGUGUCAAUAGCACUUGAAAAGUUACACUUUAAUCUCUGAAUGUCAGGAAGAAUAUCCAGUAAUAAUCUCUGAUUUUAAUAUGGCUCUUAAUGGUGGAGAAUUUACCUGACACAGACUUAACAGCAUCAGCCAUCUCUGUCUACAUGUUACAUUAUAUAAGUGAAGUGCUUGAAUAAUUGGAUAGGGAAUUAGCUAUCUUAAAUUUAUUUUACUUAUCUUUAUAUAUGAGCAAAUAUAGCAGAAAAAAUCAAUAAUAUGGCUCGAGUUCUCUCCAAGGUAAAUCGCGUUAAAAAAAAUGUUAAAAGACAACCAAUGAAUUAAGACCCUGUUGGUGAAGUAGAAACUUCAAAGGCAUAUGGUUAGAUUAUGGAGAAAAAGCAAAAUUUUUUUAAAAAAUAAUAUGAGUUUCCUAAGGUAGUUAUAAGUUUGAAGUUGUUCUGCAUUAAGAAUUGUCUAGAGAAAAAAUAAGGAAAAUCUGCUAAUCAGUUCAAUUAACCAUGAUUAAAAUAAACUUGAUACAGUGCAAAAUAUCAAGUGAAAAUCUACUUGAUAACUGUGAUACAAAUGACAUUAAUAGAAAGUGCACCAUAACAAGCUCCUUCCUUAGUUUUAUGUUUGGGGGGGGGGUGUCUUUUUUUCUUUUUUAAUAUAUUUCAGACUCUAAUGCAUUUGUCUUAUAUCUGGUGCCGAAUAAAUUUUCUUUAAAGAAGAAAAUUUCUGUAUUCGUUAGCUUCUUGUCUUUAGAUUUUGUCAUCUUAUUUACUGAAUUUUCAUAGAAUCAAGAAUCAAGAAUUAGCACAUAUAAUGUACUAAACUCAAAAACAACCAUUCAGGUUAUUGAGUCUGACCCCUGACCCUGCGAAAGACAGCCCAAGAAUUACAUCAUAGAGCAUUGCUCUUGAACUCUGUCAGGCUGGUGCUUGACCACUUCCCUGGGGAGCCUGUUCAGUGCUCAGCUACCCUCUGGAUGAAGAACCUUUUCCUGAUAUCCAACCUAUGACCUGACACAGCUUCAUGCUGCUUCCUCAAGACCUGUCACUGGUCAACUCAGAGAAGAGGCCAGCACCUGCCCCUCUACUCCGUGCAUGAUCAAGAUGAAAAUUCAAUAUUCAAAUUGAAUAAGUCUUAUGCUUAAACUAGUUAUAAUUCCAAAUGGAAAGAGGCAUAGGACACUUUUUCUCUGUGUAUAUUUAUAUCAGCUUAUGGCAAGUCCCCUCCUCUGCCAGAGUGUGCAGUGGCUGUUGCAUGUUGACUGGAAACCCCCAUAACCCAUAAGGGAUUUUCUCUUCUGAGUGAUGAUGGAGAUUAGUAGGCAUUAAAAAUCACGUCCUUAAUUUGAGAAAGAAAAGGAUAUAAAGACUCUCCUUGUCUCCUGCAUACACUGUUAAUCAGUGGUAUCAAUCUUCUGAAUACUGUCAUGGUGAACUGAUUUAUACAGACUACCAUCACUUCAGAAAUUAUGUAGAGCAGAGUUGAACAAAAAUAUUUUCCAGUCUUAACAGAUCACUUGGUUCAUGAAUUCAGAUGUAAUUUUAGAAGGCUGUAAAACUUUAAAAGAGUCUCCUGACCAUUGUGAGCUGACUUGAAAUCAGUAGAUCUUAAAUUUUCUGGGGAAGUUGACCAGACAUUUUAAAGAUUAUUAAUUUGUUUUAUUCUUUAUAAUUUGAACAUUCUAAUAUACUUUAUGAUUAGAUGGAAUACUAUUAAGUUCAUAAAAUCAAGUGCCUCAUUUUUUUUUUAACAGACUACUUAUUUCCAUAAUGAGUUAUUUAAUCUUAAAUUUUCUUUAAGCUCACCCAAAGGGAUGUUUAUGAUUUUCAAAAGAAAGUUUCCUUGCUAUAUUAAGUAACAGCUAAAACUGAAUUUUCAUACAGAGGAUGAGUUCAGCUUUUAGGGCAUUAUAAAACAACAGUGAAGUUAAUAAUCGUGAUGACCUCAGAUGACUGGAUUGCUAAUCACCAGAAAGAUAAGACUGGUGGAUCAGAUUUUUUGCACAUUUUUUCCUUGCAGAAGCUUGAUUUAUUCUGGCAGGUAGAAACAUUAUAGGUCUCUCCUAUAUAUGUAUAUACUUUCUCCUUAAGGUUACCAAAGUGAGACAUUGAUAUCAUCUCCUCUGCAGUAAUGUCUCCUCAAAGAGGGGAGACAUCAAAUCAAAGAAACAUAUUUCUAUUAGGAGACAACACAUUUGCAUCUUUCAGUUUAUCAUUUCCAAGAUAAACAACAAAGAUAUGAGCAGAGCAGCUUGCUAUUCCACAUCUCUACUUCAUUAAAAAUAAUCUUGUUACAUAGCAUAUAAACUAAAGCUGAGAUUAACGACUUCUGGCAAAAAGUUUCAACUUUGUUUUGCUUUUUCUCUAUUUUCAAAUGAAAUAGCAUGUGUGUCUUUCACAUGAAAUUAUUAAUAUAAAAAUUAUUUAUAUUUAUUCACAUAAAAUAGGGAAAGAAACAUAUUUGUCUAUUUAAUUUAGGAAACACUAAGAGCUUUUUUUUUAACACAAUAGUUUGCAUUCUGCGUCAUCAAGAUCUUCUGAACAAAUAUUAAAAAAUUUAUCUUAUGCUAUUCCGUCCAUGCAGAUACAGAUAAACUACAAACAAAAUCAAAGGUUUAAAUAACCAAAAAACAGAUGUGUUUGUUCCCAAAUUACUGUAAAUUUCAGGCAUAAAUAUGCAUAAUAUGAAACAGAUAUUCAGACUGGUACAGUCUUAUAACAGAAGGAAUUUUAAAAAUACACAUAGAAUGGAAUAACUAGACAAUAUAAUGUCUGUUGUACAGGAAAUUUAGAUUGAUAUGUUUUAUUCAUUCUGGAUCAGAUUAAAAAAAAAAUCAAAAUUGAAAUUUGUCAUAAAAAAAGGUAGGGAUAGAAGUAGCGGUUUGUGUGAAUGCAUAUGCAAAACAACUUCUCCAAAAAGCAGAACAUUUAUGAAUCACUAAAAUACAUUAAUGUGACAUGUAUUUAAAUUAAUGGUUUGUGAGGAAUGUUUGGGUGUACUAACAAAUUCAAAUAGUUUAUUUGAAAAAAAAUAUUUGAAACCAAAUGAAAAAUAAUUUGCCAGACAAAAUUAUUUGAUUUUGAUAGUGCUGAAACAAAAUGAAAAUUGUAACUUAAGAAAAACAAAAUGUCCUUUCAGAGACGGUUCCAAUAAAAUACCUUAUUUUCAGCAAACCACAUAUUUGAAGCCACUUGUUAUACCUUUCCUACUGCAUGUAGUGAAGAAUGUUUAGUCACUGAUGGUACCACUGAUAUUCACUGAUAAAAAUACCUUAUGGAGGGUAUUGUUCCCUCCUAUCUGGUCACUGUUGCUGUAUUAUUUGUGUACUUUGCCAGCCCUAUCAUGAGGCUGCCCAAAGUCUCAGAGUGGGACUGGGAACACAGCCCAGCAAAAGAGAAAUGCCAACAGCAGUCCUGCAACUCUCAUAGGUAGAAAGCUCUCUGUAAAAGCUGACUUUUAUCCCAUAGUACACAUGCAAAAUGCAGUCUUCCUGAAGUCAAACUGACCCUAAUGCUUUAAAAUGACAAAGUUCCUUGGGGAGUCCACAUCUGUAACACUACUGUUGUCCAACUUAAUGAGGUUUUGUACCAGUUAGCCUUCUAUAUUUUGGUUACACAGUCUAUAUAAAAUGCACUUGUAAGGUAUCUAACAGACAUCUCUGCUUGUAAAACAUGAUAUCUCAGGUCCUAAUACACAAAGCAGGCACUGCGACUGACCCAAGUAUUUCCUAAGGAAGAUGUACUGUCUAUCAAACCAACACAUAAUACCCUGGUGAUACUGGUGAUCCAAGUAUAAAAAGCUUUUUAGAGGUUGCACUUCACAAAUGUGUCAUUGCUUUGCUCUGUAAAGCACUCAUAAUAUUUUAAGUGACUUUUACAGCCAAAUUUUCAUCACUGGGAGAAAUAGGUGUGCUCUUCUGAGGUUCCUCAUUGCUACAUAAAAUCUAUAAUUGCAAUCUCAUCCCCUUAUUUCCUAUAUAUAGUGUCUAAUAUAUUCAUCUUUUGCCUGGUCAGUGUUCAAGCGCAGUUCUAAGUGGA
Taeniopygia guttata (zebra finch) is the source of this 4939-nucleotide long non-coding RNA. NCBI's taxonomy places the organism in Eukaryota, Metazoa, Chordata, Aves, Passeriformes, Estrildidae. The record is from Ensembl.